Molecule: ribosomal RNA, 490 nt
Filed under: uncultured bacterium
Lineage: Bacteria
Description: partial 16S ribosomal RNA
Rfam family: Bacterial small subunit ribosomal RNA
Source: RNAcentral
AUUGAACGCUGGCGGCAGGCCUAACACAUGCAAGUCGAGCGGCAGCGGAAAGUAGCUUGCUACUUUGCCGGCGAGCGGCGGACGGGUGAGGAAUGUCUGGGGAUCUGCCUGAUGGAGGGGGAUAACUACUGGAAACGGUAGCUAAUACCGCAUAACGUCGCAAGACCAAAGCGGGGGACCUUCGGGCCUCGCGCCAUCAGAUGAACCCAGAUGGGAUUAGCUAGUAGGUGGGGUAAUGGCUCACCUAGGCGACGAUCCCUAGCUGGUCUGAGAGGAUGACCAGCCACACUGGAACUGAGACACGGUCCAGACUCCUACGGGAGGCAGCAGUGGGGAAUAUUGCACAAUGGGCGCAAGCCUGAUGCAGCCAUGCCGCGUGUAUGAAGAAGGCCUUCGGGUUGUAAAGUACUUUCAGCGAGGAGGAAGGCGGUAAGGUUAAUAACCUUACUGAUUGACGUUACUCGAAGAAGAAGCACCGGCUAACUCCGUG